ACUCUCUUAGUAUAAACAGUACUAUUGACUUCCAAUUAAUGGGUCUCGAUGAACUCGAGAGAGAGUA
This 67-nucleotide transfer RNA is filed under the name Saguinus midas (Midas tamarin). RNAcentral describes it as "tRNA-Gly". Lineage: Eukaryota; Metazoa; Chordata; Mammalia; Primates; Cebidae. The record is from RNAcentral.